This 368-nucleotide ribosomal RNA is filed under the name Androctonus amoreuxi. RNAcentral's name for it is "partial 16S ribosomal RNA". Lineage: Eukaryota; Metazoa; Arthropoda; Arachnida; Scorpiones; Buthidae. The record is from RNAcentral.
GUCAUAAUCAUUAGUCUUUUAAUUUGAGACUGGAAUGAAAGAGUAAACCGGGAGAAUUUUUUUUCAGUUGAGAAAAUGAAUUUUACUUUUUAGUAAGAAGGCUAAAAUUUAACUUUUAGACAAGAAGACCCUAUAAAACUUUAUAUUUUUAUUUCUUAGUUGAAAGAAGAAGUAUUUCGCUGGGGCGGUGGAGGAAAGCCCUUCCUUUUAAAAAAAUAAACUUUCUUGUUUAAAUACCUAGAAAUUCUAAAUUAGAAAUAAGUUACUUUAGGGAUAACAGCUUAAUUUACUUAGAAAGAUCAAAUUGACAAGUAAGUUUAUGACCUCGAUGUUGAAUUAAAAGACCUUUUUUGUGCAAAAGCUAAAAA